This 1823-nucleotide ribosomal RNA is filed under the name Sphaerites glabratus. RNAcentral's name for it is "SSU rRNA". It matches the Rfam family "Eukaryotic small subunit ribosomal RNA". Lineage: Eukaryota; Metazoa; Arthropoda; Insecta; Coleoptera; Sphaeritidae. The record is from RNAcentral.
CAUGUCUCAGUACAAGCCAAAUUAAGGUGAAACCGCGAAAGGCUCAUUAAAUCAGUUAUGGUUCCUUAGAUCGUACACACAUUUACUUGGAUAACUGUGGUAAUUCUAGAGCUAAUACAUGCAAACAGAGUUCCGACCGGAGACGGAAGGAACGCUUUUAUUAGAUCAAAACCAAUCGGUGGCGGGCUUCGGUCCGUCAUCGUACACACUUGAUGAAACUGAAUAACUUUCUGCUGAUCGCACGGUCUCGCACCGGCGACGCAUCUUUCAAAUGUCUGCCUUAUCAACUGUCGAUGGUAGGUUCUGCGCCUACCAUGGUUGUAACGGGUAACGGGGAAUCAGGGUUCGAUUCCGGAGAGGGAGCCUGAGAAACGGCUACCACAUCCAAGGAAGGCAGCAGGCGCGCAAAUUACCCACUCCCGGCACGGGGAGGUAGUGACGAAAAAUAACGAUACGGGACUCAUCCGAGGCCCCGUAAUCGGAAUGAGUACACUCUAAAUCCUUUAACGAGGAUCAAUUGGAGGGCAAGUCUGGUGCCAGCAGCCGCGGUAAUUCCAGCUCCAAUAGCGUAUAUUAAAGUUGUUGCGGUUAAAAAGCUCGUAGUCGAAUCUGUGUCCCGCGCCGCCGGUUCAUCGCUCGCGGUGUCAACUGGCGUGUUCGCGGGACGUCCUGCCGGUGGACUUAGCCCGCGAGGGCGGUCCAACUUAAAAUCCCACCGCGGUGCUCUUCACUGAGUGUCGAGGUGGGCCGGCACGUUUACUUUGAACAAAUUAGAGUGCUUAAAGCAGGCUAAAAUUUCGCCUGAAUACUGUGUGCAUGGAAUAAUGGAAUAGGACCUCGGUUCUAUUUUGUUGGUUUUCGGAACCCCGAGGUAAUGAUUAAUAGGAACGGAUGGGGGCAUUCGUAUUGCGACGUUAGAGGUGAAAUUCUUGGAUCGUCGCAAGACGGACUUAAGCGAAAGCAUUUGCCAAAAACGUUUUCAUUGAUCAAGAACGAAAGUUAGAGGUUCGAAGGCGAUCAGAUACCGCCCUAGUUCUAACCAUAAACGAUGCCAGCUAGCGAUCCGCCGACGUUCCUCCGAUGACUCGGCGGGCAGCUUCCGGGAAACCAAAGCUUUUGGGUUCCGGGGGAAGUAUGGUUGCAAAGCUGAAACUUAAAGGAAUUGACGGAAGGGCACCACCAGGAGUGGAGCCUGCGGCUUAAUUUGACUCAACACGGGAAAACUCACCAGGCCCGGACACCGGAAGGAUUGACAGAUUGAGAGCUCUUUCUUGAUUCGGUGGGUGGUGGUGCAUGGCCGUUCUUAGUUGGUGGAGCGAUUUGUCUGGUUAAUUCCGAUAACGAACGAGACUCUAGCCUGCUAAAUAGGCGUACUAUCGACAUCUCAAAGGCCCAGCGGGCCGGCGCUCGCGGUCGUGGUCGUGCGCGGUUUUUACUGUCGGCGUACAAUUAAUUCUUCUUAGAGGGACAGGCGGCUUCUAGCCGCACGAGAUUGAGCAAUAACAGGUCUGUGAUGCCCUUAGAUGUUCUGGGCCGCACGCGCGCUACACUGAAGGAAUCAGCGUGUCUUCCCUGCGCCGAGAGGCCCGGGUAACCCGCUGAACCUCCUUCGUGCUAGGGAUUGGGGCUUGCAAUUGUUCCCCAUGAACGAGGAAUUCCCAGUAAGCGCGAGUCAUAAGCUCGCGUUGAUUACGUCCCUGCCCUUUGUACACACCGCCCGUCGCUACUACCGAUUGAAUGAUUUAGUGAGGUCUUCGGAUUGGUACGCGGUGGCGUUUCCGCGUUGUCGAUGUAGCUGGGAAGAUGACCAAACUUGAUCAUUU